RNAcentral lists this ribosomal RNA (468 nucleotides) under uncultured bacterium. Its description in RNAcentral is "partial 16S ribosomal RNA". It matches the Rfam family "Bacterial small subunit ribosomal RNA", at positions 28 to 507 of the family's 1533-position model. The record is from RNAcentral.
GACGAACGCUGGCGGCGUGCUUAACACAUGCAAGUCGAACGGAAAGGCCCUGCUUUUGUGGGGUGCUCGAGUGGCGAACGGGUGAGUAACACGUGAGUAACCUGCCCUUGACUUUGGGAUAACUUCAGGAAACUGGGGCUAAUACCGGAUAGGAGCUCCUGCUGCAUGGUGGGGGUUGGAAAGUUUCGGCGGUUGGGGAUGGACUCGCGGCUUAUCAGCUUGUUGGUGGGGUAGUGGCUUACCAAGGCUUUGACGGGUAGCCGGCCUGAGAGGGUGACCGGCCACAUUGGGACUGAGAUGCGGCCCAGACUCCUACGGGAGGCAGCAGUGGGGAAUAUUGCACAAUGGGCGGAAGCCUGAUGCAGCAACGCCGCGUGCGGGAUGACGUCCUUCGGGUUGUAAACCGCUUUCGCCUGUGACGAAGCGUGAGUGACGGUAAUGGGUAAAGAAGCACCGGCUAACUACGUG